Molecule: long non-coding RNA, 409 nt
Organism: Peromyscus leucopus (white-footed mouse)
Lineage: Eukaryota; Metazoa; Chordata; Mammalia; Rodentia; Cricetidae
Exons: 3
Source: RefSeq, a predicted model, not a curated record
CUCGGUGUCCGGAUAGCUCGCCUGUUAGCGUGUGUGCCUUUCCGUCAGCCCAGCCUGGAGGAUAAAAGCUUUACCGGAGUCGGUUCUGUGGUCAUCUUGUUCACCAACACUCACGUUUUCCGUAGUCCACACUCUUAGCUCUGAAUCUCUGGGCAGAUUAGUAAGCACCUCGGGAAUCACCCCAGGUUUUUAGAGCGGAGCGCAGGUCCCCCAAAGAUGCUGGUUCCCCAAAGAUGCCAUCAUCCCUAGAAAGCAAGAAGCAGUCUAUAGAACAUGACACCCACAUUCCCAAGAGUUUACAGGACUGGCCUGACAUAACAACACCAUUUCCCAUUGAGUGAGAAGUUACCUGAAGACAUCACAGAAGGCAUGCUCCUCAAACGUGGAGAGUAAAGAGGUCAUUUAUCAA